GCGGGUGUAACUCAGUGGUAGAGUACCUCGUUGCCAACGAGGUUGUCGUGGGUUCAAGUCCCAUCACCCGCU
Molecule: transfer RNA, 72 nt
Organism: Gemmata sp. SH-PL17
Lineage: Bacteria; Pseudomonadati; Planctomycetota; Planctomycetia; Gemmatales; Gemmataceae
Rfam family: tRNA
About the family: Transfer RNA (tRNA) molecules are approximately 80 nucleotides in length. Their secondary structure includes four short double-helical elements and three loops (D, anti-codon, and T loops).
Source: Rfam